This 253-nucleotide ribosomal RNA is filed under the name uncultured bacterium. RNAcentral describes it as "partial 16S ribosomal RNA". It matches the Rfam family "Bacterial small subunit ribosomal RNA", at positions 524 to 776 of the family's 1533-position model. The record is from RNAcentral.
CACGUAGGGCGCAAGCGUUGUCCGGAAUUAUUGGGCGUAAAGAGCUCGUAGGCGGUCUGUUGCGUCCGCUGUGAAAACUCGGGGCUUAACCCCGAGCCUGCAGUGGAUACGGGCAGACUAGAGGUAGGUAGGGGAGAAUGGAAUUCCCGGUGUAGCGGUGAAAUGCGCAGAUAUCGGGAGGAACACCGGUGGCGAAAGCGACUUCCUGGUCGAAUACUGACGUUCAUGUGCGAAAGCGUGGGGAGCAAACAGG